RNAcentral lists this ribosomal RNA (254 nucleotides) under uncultured bacterium. RNAcentral describes it as "partial 16S ribosomal RNA". It matches the Rfam family "Bacterial small subunit ribosomal RNA", at positions 524 to 776 of the family's 1533-position model. The record is from RNAcentral.
UACGUAGGGCGCAAGCGUUAUCCGGAAUUAUUGGGCGUAAAGAGCUCGUAGGCGGUCUGUCACGUCGGCUGUGAAAUCCCGAGGCUCAACCUCGGGUCUGCAGUCGAUACGGGCAAGCUAGAGUAUUGCAGGGGAGACUGGAAUUCCUGGUGUAGCGGUGAAAUGCGCAGAUAUCAGGAGGAACACCGGUGGCGAAGGCGGGUCUCUGGGGCAGUAACUGACGCUGAGGAGCGAAAGCGUGGGGAGCGAACAGG